Long non-coding RNA from Grammomys surdaster, 600 nucleotides. RefSeq lists it as uncharacterized. The transcript is spliced from 4 exons. The record is from RefSeq and is a predicted model, not a curated record. Lineage: Eukaryota; Metazoa; Chordata; Mammalia; Rodentia; Muridae.
CUGGCCAUUGAGCUGCACUGACCUACGGCAGGGGAAAGAGGAGACUCAUUAGCACACACUUGCAUCUUGCAUUUCUUUGACAGGUGGUGUGGGUAUCCAAUGACCAGCGACCGGUAAUACCGAUUCACUUUCUAAAGCAUACUUGAAUGCACGUCACCUCUCUGCUGGCAAGCUACUUACAUGUAGAAUCAAGUGCAAGGGUUUAGGUUAAAAAGCUCUAGAUUCAGACACUGCCAGAGUACUGAUGCCUUUGGGUUCUGGGAAGUGCAGAACGACGUGUGAAAAGCAAACGCUCAACCAUCAUCAGUAGCUGCUCUGCAUCAGCCCCUUCGGCGUCUCCUCAUUGUGGGUUACAGAUAGAAUCAGGAGCCUGGAUAAGCCCCUGCACUGAAAUCUCCAACUUUAGGAGCUAGGUGUAUGCAGUGAGGAAUCGGCAUGUUUGCAAUUGUAUCAGUGGCGAAAGACAAGACCAUGGAUUGUGGACUGCUUUGGUGUGAAAGUUUUAUGUGUUAAUUGAAAUGGGAUUUGAUGUGUCAACUCAGAGUCAAGCCCUCUGCGCCCCAGUUCUCCAUGGGGCACCGUGACCCGGCUACUCCACCU